This 28-nucleotide non-coding RNA is filed under the name Homo sapiens (human). Lineage: Eukaryota; Metazoa; Chordata; Mammalia; Primates; Hominidae. The record is from RNAcentral.
UACUCAAAGUGAUGGGGUGACCGAUGGU